GGGUUGUGAGGUUAAGCGACUAAGCGUACACGGUGGAUGCCCUGGCAGUCAGAGGCGAUGAAGGGCGUGCUAAUCUGCGAUAAGCGCCGGUAAGGUGAUAUGAACCGUUAUAACCGGCGAUACCCGAAUGGGGAAACCCAGUGUGAUUCGUCACACUAUCAUUAACUGAAUCCAUAGGUUAAUGAGGCGAACCGGGGGAACUGAAACAUCUAAGUACCCCGAGGAAAAGAAAUCAACCGAGAUUCCCCCAGUAGCGGCGAGCGAACGGGGAGGAGCCCAGAGCCUGAAUCAGCAUGUGUGUUAGUGGAAGCGUCUGGAAAGGCGCGCGAUACAGGGUGACAGCCCCGUACACAAAAGCGCAUGUGCUGUGAGCUCGAUGAGUAGGGCGGGACACGUGGUAUCCUGUCUGAAUAUGGGGGGACCAUCCUCCAAGGCUAAAUACUCCUGACUGACCGAUAGUGAACCAGUACCGUGAGGGAAAGGCGAAAAGAACCCCGGCGAGGGGAGUGAAAAAGAACCUGAAACCGUGUACGUACAAGCAGUGGGAGCCCCACCACUAAGCCAGUGGUGAACUCCACAUACGCAUCCUUUGCUGAGGAUACGGUUAACGGAGCGAAAGCGACGUUCAACCGCAAAAGAAGCAGAGGGGGCUUAGUGGUGGGGUGACUGCGUACCUUUUGUAUAAUGGGUCAGCGACUUAUAUUCUGUAGCAAGGUUAACCGAAUAGGGGAGCCGGAGGGAAACCGAGUCUUAAUUGGGCGUUAAGUUGCAGGGUAUAGACCCGAAACCCGGUGAUCUAGCCAUGGGCAGGUUGAAGGUUGGGUAACACUAACUGGAGGACCGAACCGACUAAUGUUGAAAAAUUAGCGGAUGACCUGUGGCUGGGGGUGAAAGGCCAAUCAAACCGGGAGAUAGCUGGUUCUCCCCGAAAGCUAUUUAGGUAGCGCCUCGUGAAUUCAUCUCCGGGGGUAGAGCACUGUUUCGGCUAGGGGGCCAUCCCGGCUUACCAACCCGAUGCAAACUGCGAAUACCGGAGAAUGUUAUCACGGGAGACACACGGCGGGUGCUAACGUCCGUCGUGAAGAGGGAAACAACCCAGACCGCCAGCUAAGGUCCCAAAGUCAUGGUUAAGUGGGAAACGAUGUGGGAAGGCCCAGACAGCCAGGAUGUUGGCUUAGAAGCAGCCAUCAUUUAAAGAAAGCGUAAUAGCUCACUGGUCGAGUCGGCCUGCGCGGAAGAUGUAACGGGGCUAAACCAUGCACCGAAGCUGCGGCAGCGACACUCAGGUGUUGUUGGGUAGGGGAGCGUUCUGUAAGCCUGUGAAGGUGGUCUGUGAGGCAUGCUGGAGGUAUCAGAAGUGCGAAUGCUGACAUAAGUAACGAUAAAGCGGGUGAAAAGCCCGCUCGCCGGAAGACCAAGGGUUCCUGUCCAACGUUAAUCGGGGCAGGGUGAGUCGACCCCUAAGGCGAGGCCGAAAGGCGUAGUCGAUGGGAAACGGGUUAAUAUUCCCGUACUUGGUGUUACUGCGAAGGGGGGACGGAGAAGGCUAUGUUGGCCGGGCGACGGUUGUCCCGGUUUAAGCGUGUAGGUGUGUGUUCCAGGUAAAUCCGGUUCACUUUAACACUGAGGCGUGACGACGAGGCACUACGGUGCUGAAGCAACAAAUGCCCUGCUUCCAGGAAAAGCCUCUAAGCAUCAGGUAACAUCAAAUCGUACCCCAAACCGACACAGGUGGUCAGGUAGAGAAUACCAAGGCGCUUGAGAGAACUCGGGUGAAGGAACUAGGCAAAAUGGUGCCGUAACUUCGGGAGAAGGCACGCUGACACGUAGGUGAAGUGAUUUACUCAUGGAGCUGAAGUCAGUCGAAGAUACCAGCUGGCUGCAACUGUUUAUUAAAAACACAGCACUGUGCAAACACGAAAGUGGACGUAUACGGUGUGACGCCUGCCCGGUGCCGGAAGGUUAAUUGAUGGGGUCAGCGCAAGCGAAGCUCCUGAUCGAAGCCCCGGUAAACGGCGGCCGUAACUAUAACGGUCCUAAGGUAGCGAAAUUCCUUGUCGGGUAAGUUCCGACCUGCACGAAUGGCGUAAUGAUGGCCAGGCUGUCUCCACCCGAGACUCAGUGAAAUUGAACUCGCUGUGAAGAUGCAGUGUACCCGCGGCAAGACGGAAAGACCCCGUGAACCUUUACUAUAGCUUGACACUGAACAUUGAGCCUUGAUGUGUAGGAUAGGUGGGAGGCUUUGAAGUGUGGACGCCAGUCUGCAUGGAGCCGACCUUGAAAUACCACCCUUUAAUGUUUGAUGUUCUAACGUGGACCCGUGAUCCGGGUUGCGGACAGUGUCUGGUGGGUAGUUUGACUGGGGCGGUCUCCUCCUAAAGAGUAACGGAGGAGCACGAAGGUUGGCUAAUCCUGGUCGGACAUCAGGAGGUUAGUGCAAUGGCAUAAGCCAGCUUGACUGCGAGCGUGACGGCGCGAGCAGGUGCGAAAGCAGGUCAUAGUGAUCCGGUGGUUCUGAAUGGAAGGGCCAUCGCUCAACGGAUAAAAGGUACUCCGGGGAUAACAGGCUGAUACCGCCCAAGAGUUCAUAUCGACGGCGGUGUUUGGCACCUCGAUGUCGGCUCAUCACAUCCUGGGGCUGAAGUAGGUCCCAAGGGUAUGGCUGUUCGCCAUUUAAAGUGGUACGCGAGCUGGGUUUAGAACGUCGUGAGACAGUUCGGUCCCUAUCUGCCGUGGGCGCUGGAGAACUGAGGGGGGCUGCUCCUAGUACGAGAGGACCGGAGUGGACGCAUCACUGGUGUUCGGGUUGUCAUGCCAAUGGCACUGCCCGGUAGCUAAAUGCGGAAGAGAUAAGUGCUGAAAGCAUCUAAGCACGAAACUUGCCCCGAGAUGAGUUCUCCCUGAGACUUAGAGUCUCCUGAAGGAACGUUGAAGACGACGACGUUGAUAGGCCGGGUGUGUAAGCGCAGCGAUGCGUUGAGCUAACCGGUACUAAUGAACCGUGAGGCUUAACCUUACAACGCCGAAG
Molecule: ribosomal RNA, 3028 nt
Filed under: Salmonella enterica subsp. enterica serovar Anatum
Lineage: Bacteria; Pseudomonadati; Pseudomonadota; Gammaproteobacteria; Enterobacterales; Enterobacteriaceae
Description: 23S ribosomal RNA
Rfam family: Bacterial large subunit ribosomal RNA
Source: RNAcentral